GAUGAACGCUGGCGGCGUGCCUAAUACAUGCAAGUCGAGCGAACGGACGAGAAGCUUGCUUCUCUGAUGUUAGCGGCGGACGGGUGAGUAACACGUGGAUAACCUACCUAUAAGACUGGGAUAACUUCGGGAAACCGUAGCUAAUACCGGAUAAUAUUUUGAACCGCAUGGUUCAAAAGUGAAAGACGGUCUUGCUGUCACUUAUAGAUGGAUCCGCGCUGCAUUAGCUAGUUGGUAAGGUAACGGCUUACCAAGGCAACGAUGCAUAGCCGACCUGAGAGGGUGAUCGGCCACACUGGAACUGAGACACGGUCCAGACUCCUACGGGAGGCAGCAGUAGGGAAUCUUCCGCAAUGGGCGCAAGCCUGACGGAGCAAUGCCGCGUGAGUGAUGAAGGUCUUCGGAUCGUAAAACUCUGUUAUUAGGGAAGAACAUAUGUGUAAGUAACUGUGCACAUCUUGACGGUACCUAAUCAGAAAGCAACGGCUAACUACGUG
This 497-nucleotide ribosomal RNA is filed under the name uncultured bacterium. RNAcentral describes it as "partial 16S ribosomal RNA". It matches the Rfam family "Bacterial small subunit ribosomal RNA", at positions 28 to 507 of the family's 1533-position model. The record is from RNAcentral.